This 1145-nucleotide ribosomal RNA is filed under the name Pseudoalteromonas tunicata. RNAcentral describes it as "bacterial SSU rRNA". It matches the Rfam family "Bacterial small subunit ribosomal RNA", at positions 8 to 1143 of the family's 1533-position model. The record is from RNAcentral. Lineage: Bacteria; Pseudomonadati; Pseudomonadota; Gammaproteobacteria; Alteromonadales; Pseudoalteromonadaceae.
AGAGUUUGAUCAUGGCUCAGAUUGAACGCUGGCGGCAGGCCUAACACAUGCAAGUCGAGCGGUAGCACAGAGAAACUUGUUUCUUGGGUGACGAGCGGCGGACGGGUGAGUAAUGCUUGGGAACAUGCCUUUAGGUGGGGGACAACAGUUGGAAACGACUGCUAAUACCGCAUGAUGUCUACGGACCAAAGUGGGGGACCUUCGGGCCUCACGCCUAAAGAUUGGCCCAAGUGGGAUUAGCUAGUUGGUGAGGUAAUGGCUCACCAAGGCAACGAUCUCUAGCUGGUUUGAGAGGAUGAUCAGCCACACUGGAACUGAGACACGGUCCAGACUCCUACGGGAGGCAGCAGUGGGGAAUAUUGCACAAUGGGCGAAAGCCUGAUGCAGCCAUGCCGCGUGUGUGAAGAAGGCCUUCGGGUUGUAAAGCACUUUCAGUCAGGAGGAAAGGUUACGUUUUAAUAGAACGUAGCUGUGACGUUACUGACAGAAGAAGCACCGGCUAACUCCGUGCCAGCAGCCGCGGUAAUACGGAGGGUGCGAGCGUUAAUCGGAAUUACUGGGCGUAAAGCGUACGCAGGCGGUUGAUUAAGCGAGAUGUGAAAGCCCCGGGCUCAACCUGGGAACUGCAUUUCGAACUGGUCAACUAGAGUGUGAUAGAGGGUGGUAGAAUUUCAGGUGUAGCGGUGAAAUGCGUAGAGAUCUGAAGGAAUACCGAUGGCGAAGGCAGCCACCUGGGUCAACACUGACGCUCAUGUACGAAAGCGUGGGGAGCAAACAGGAUUAGAUACCCUGGUAGUCCACGCCGUAAACGAUGUCUACUAGAAGCUGGGGUCCUCGGACAACUUUUUCAAAGCUAACGCAUUAAGUAGACCGCCUGGGGAGUACGGCCGCAAGGUUAAAACUCAAAUGAAUUGACGGGGGCCCGCACAAGCGGUGGAGCAUGUGGUUUAAUUCGAUGCAACGCGAAGAACCUUACCUACACUUGACAUCCAGAGAAAUCGCUAGAGAUAGCUUUGUGCCUUCGGGAACUCUGAGACAGGUGCUGCAUGGCUGUCGUCAGCUCGUGUUGUGAGAUGUUGGGUUAAGUCCCGCAACGAGCGCACCCCCUAUCCUUAGUUGCCAGCGAGUAAUGUCGGGAACUCUAA